RNAcentral lists this ribosomal RNA (444 nucleotides) under uncultured bacterium. Its description in RNAcentral is "bacterial SSU rRNA". It matches the Rfam family "Bacterial small subunit ribosomal RNA", at positions 331 to 793 of the family's 1533-position model. The record is from RNAcentral.
CCAGACUCCUACGGGGGCAGCAGUGGGGGAUAUUGGACAAUGGGGGGAACCCUGAUCCAGCGAUGCCGCGUGAGGGAAGAAGGUUUUCGGAUUGUAAACCUCUGUGGACAGGGACGAUAAUGACGGUACCUGUCAAGAAAGCCACGGCUAACUACGUGCCAGCAGCCGCGGUAAUACGUAGGUGGCGAGCGUUGUCCGGAUUUACUGGGUGUAAAGGGAGCGUAGACGGCAGCGCAAGUCUGAAGUGAAAUCCCAUGGCUUAACCAUGGAACUGCUUUGGAAACUGUGCAGCUGGAGUGCAGGAGAGGUAAGCGGAAUUCCUAGUGUAGCGGUGAAAUGCGUAGAUAUCAGGAGGAACACCGGCGGCGAAGGCGGCUUACUGGACUGUAACUGACGUUGAGGCUCGAAGGCGUGGGGAGCAAACAGGAUUAGAUACCCUAGUAU